CACCUGCUCGGGUAGCUUAAA
This 21-nucleotide transfer RNA is filed under the name Enhydris enhydris. RNAcentral's name for it is "partial tRNA-Thr". The record is from RNAcentral. Lineage: Eukaryota; Metazoa; Chordata; Lepidosauria; Squamata; Homalopsidae.